CACGGGGGUGCUGAUAGAUUCGGCUGAGAUUAUACCCAUUGAACCUGAUGCUGGUAAUGCUGCCGCAGGAAUAGAUGAUAUAA
This 83-nucleotide non-coding RNA is filed under the name uncultured Prevotella sp. Lineage: Bacteria; Pseudomonadati; Bacteroidota; Bacteroidia; Bacteroidales; Prevotellaceae. The record is from RNAcentral.